UAGAAGACCGAGAUGUGCCCGAC
RNAcentral lists this non-coding RNA (23 nucleotides) under Mus musculus (house mouse). Lineage: Eukaryota; Metazoa; Chordata; Mammalia; Rodentia; Muridae. The record is from RNAcentral.